CCUACGGGGGGCAGCAGUGGGGAAUAUUGCGCAAUGGGCGAAAGCCUGACGCAGCGACGCCGCGUGAGGGAUGAAGGUCUUCGGAUCGUAAACCUCUGUCAGCAGGGAAGAACGGUCACUGUGCUAAUCAGCAGUGAAUUGACGGUACCUGCAAAGGAAGCACCGGCUAACUCCGUGCCAGCAGCCGCGGUAAUAUUGAGGGUGCGCGCGUUAAUCGGAAUUACUGGGCGUAAAGCGCUCGUAGGCGGUAUGUCAAGUCAAGGGUGAAAUCCCCGGGCUCAACGUGGGAACUGCCUUUGAAACUGGCAAACUUGAGGGUGUGAGAGGAUAGUGGAAUGCCAGGUGUAGGAGUGAAAUCCGUAGAUAUCUGGAGGAACACCAGUGGCGAAGGCGACUAUCUGGCACAUAACUGACGCUGAGGAGCGAAAGCGUGGGUAGCAAACAGGAUUAGAUACCCGAGUAGUC
This 465-nucleotide ribosomal RNA is filed under the name uncultured bacterium. RNAcentral describes it as "partial 16S ribosomal RNA". It matches the Rfam family "Bacterial small subunit ribosomal RNA", at positions 338 to 795 of the family's 1533-position model. The record is from RNAcentral.